GGACAGCGUGACAGCUGGACUCUGUUUUAAAAAAGUGGUAUGAGGAGGACAGCGUGACAGUUGGACUCUGUUUUAAAAGUGGUAUGAGGAGGACAGCGUGACAGUUAGACUCUGUUUUAAAAGUGGUAUGAGGAGGACAGUGUGACAGUUAGAUUCUGUUUUAAAAGUGGUAUGAGGAGGACAGUGUGACAGUUAGACUCUGUUUUAAAAGUGGUAUGAGGAGGACAGUGUGACAGCUGGACUCUGUUUUAAAAGUGGUAUGAGGAGGACAGCGUGACAGUUGGACUCUGUUUUAAAAGUGGUAUGAGGAGGACAGCGUGACAGUUGGACUCUGUUUUAAAAGUGGUAUGAGGAGGACAGUGUGACAGCUGGACUCUGUUAUAAAAAAGUGGUAUGAGGAGGACAGCGUGACAGUUAGACUCUGUUUUAAAAGUGGUAUGAGGAGGACAGCGUGACAGUUAGACUCUGUUUUAAAAGUGGUAUGUGGAGGACAGUGUGACAGUUAGACUCUGUUUUAAAAGUGGUAUGAGAAGGACAGUGUGACAGUUAGACUCUGUUUUAAAAGUGGUAUGAGGAGGACAGCGUGACAGCUGGACUGUUAUAAAAAAGUGGUAUGAGGAGGACAGUUAGACUCUGUUUUAAAAAAGUGGUAUGAGGAGGACAGCGUGACAGUUGGACUCUGUUUUAAAAGUGGUAUGAGGAGGACAGUGUGACAGUUGGACUCUGUUUUAAAAGUGGUAUGAGGAGGACAGUGUGACAGUUAGACUCUGUAUUAAAAGCGGUAUGAGGAGGACAGCGUGACAGUUAGACUCUGUUUUAAAAAAGUGGUAUGAGGAGGACAGCGUGACAGCUGGACUGUUAUAAAAAAGUGGUAUGAGGAGGACAGUUAGACUCUGUUUUAAAAAAGUGGUAUGAGGAGGACAGCGUGACAUUUGGACUCUGUUUUAAAAGUGGUAUGAGGAGGACAGUGUGACAGUUGGACUCUGUUAUAAAAAAGUGGUAUGAGGAGGACAGCUUGACAGGUGGACUCUGUUUUAAAAGUGGUAUGAGGAGGACAGCGUGACAGCUGGACUCUGUUAUAAAAAAGUGGUAUGAGGAGGACAGCGUGACAGUUGGACUCUGUUUUAAAAGUGGAAUGAGGAGGACAGCGUGACAGUUGGACUCUGUUAUAAAAAAGUGGUAUGAGGAGGACAGCUUGACAGGUGGACUCUGUUUUAAAAGUGGUAUGAGGAGGACAGCGUGACAGCUGGACUCUGUUUUAAAAGUGGUAUGAGGAGGACAGUGUGACAGUUGGACUCUGUUUUAAAAGUGGUAUGAGGAGGACAGCGUGACAGUUAGACUCUGUUUUAAAAAGUGGUAUGAGGAGGACAGCGUGACAGUUAGACUCUGUAUUAAAAGCGGUAUGAGGAGGACAGCGUGACAGUUAGACUCUGUUUUAAAAAAGUGGUAUGAGGAGGACAGUGUGACAGUUAGACUCUGUUUUAAAAGUGGUAUGAGGAGGACAGCGUGACAGUUAGACUCUGUUUUAAAAAAGUGGUAUGAGGAGGACAGCGUGACAGCUGGACUGUUAUAAAAAAGUGGUAUGAGGAGGACAGUUAGACUCUGUUUUAAAAAAGUGGUAUGAGGAGGACAGCGUGACAGUUGGACUCUGUUUUAAAAAUGGUAUGAGGAGGACAGUGUGACAGUUGGACUCUGUUAUAAAAAAGUGGUAUGAGGAGGACAGCUUGACAGGUGGACUCUGUUUUAAAAGUGGUAUGAGGAGGACAGCGUGACAGCUGGACUCUGUUAUAAAAAAGUGGUAUGAGGAGGACAGCGUGACAGUUGGACUCUGUUUUAAAAGUGGAAUGAGGAGGACAGCGUGACAGUUGGACUCUGUUAUAAAAAAGUGGUAUGAGGAGGACAGCUUGACAGGUGGACUCUGUUUUAAAAGUGGUAUGAGGAGGACAGCGUGACAGCUGGACUCUGUUAUAAAAAAGUGGUAUGAGGAGGACAGCGUGACAGUUGGACUCUGUUUUAAAAGUGGAAUGAGGAGGACAGCGUGACAGUUAGACUCUGUUUUAAAAGUGGUAUGAGGAGGACAGUGUGACAGUUAGACUCUGUUUUAAAAGUGGUAUGAGGAGGACAGCGUGACAGCUGGACUCUGUUAUAAAAAAGUGGUAUGAGGAGGACAGCGUGACAGUUAGACUCUGUUUUAAAAGUGGUAUGAGGAGGACAGCGUGACAGUUAGACUCUGUUUUAAAAGUGGUAUGAGGAGGACAGUGUGACAGUUAGACUCUGUUUUAAAAGUGGUAUGAGGAGGACAGUGUGACAGUUAGACUCUGUUUUAAAAGUGGUAUGAGGAGGACAGUGUGACAGCUGGACUCUGUUUUAAAAGUGGUAUGAGGAGGACAGUUAGACUCUGUUUUAAAAAAGUGGUAUGAGGAGGACAGCGUGACAGUUGGACUCUGUUUUAAAAGUGGUAUGAGGAGGACAGUGUGACAGUUGGACUCUGUUAUAAAAAAGUGGUAUGAGGAGGACAGCUUGACAGUUGGACUCUGUUUUAAAAGUGGUAUGAGGAGGACAGCGUGACUCUGUUAUAAAAAAGUGGUAUGAGGAGGACAGCGUGACAGUUGGACUCUAUUUUAAAAAGUGGUAUGAGGAGGACAGCGUGACAGUUGGACUCUGUUAUAAAAGUGGUAUGGGGAGGACAGCGUGACAGUUAGACUCUGUUUUAAAAGUGGUAUGAGAAGGACAGUGUGACAGUUAGACUCUGUUUUAAAAGUGGUAUGAGGAGGACAGUGUGACAGUUGGACUCUGUUAUAAAAAAGUGGUAUGAGGAGGACAGCUUGACAGUUGGACUCUGUUUUAAAAGUGGUAUGAGGAGGACAGCGUGACAGCUGGACUCUGUUAUAAAAAAGUGGUAUGGGGAGGACAGCGUGACAGUUAGACUCUGUUUUAAAAGUGGUAUGAGAAGGACAGUGUGACAGUUGGACUCUGUUUUAAAAAUGGUAUGAGGAGGACAGCGUGACAGUUGGACUCUGUUUUAAAAGUGGUAUGAGGAGGACAGUGUGACAGUUAGACUCUGUAUUAAAAGCGGUAUGAGGAGGACAGCGUGACAGUUAGACUCUGUUUUAAAAAAGUGGUAUGAGGAGGACAGCGUGACAGUUGGACUCUGUUUUAAAAGUGGUAUGAGGAGGACAGUUGGACCGCUGUUCUGAUGUGUCACACAGUGGUAUAACGAUAGUGUCAGCUAGUUAGUUAUUUGGUGUCAAUAUGCAGUGUCUCCCAGUGUGUGUGUGUGUGUGUGUGUGUGUGUGUGUGUGUGUGUGUGUGUGUGUGUGUGUGUGUGUGUGUGUGUGUGUGUGUGUGUGUGUGUGUGUGUGUGUGUGUGUGUGUGUGUGUGUGUGUGUGUGUGUGUGUGUGUGUGUGUGCGCGCGUACCAGGACCACUCACCUUCUCCUGAACAUCUCAGCGAAGAUACAGCCCACACUCCACAAGUCAACUGGGGUGGCAUAGCUGGACUGGAGCAACACCUCUGGGGCUCUGUACCACAACGUCACCACCUACACACACACAAUCAGCACACGGAGUAUACCAAACAUUAGGAACACCUUCCUGAUAAUGAGUUGGAGAGGAAGAGAGGAGAGGAGUUGAGGAGUAAAGGAGGAGAGAAAGAGAGGAUGAGAGGAGUUGAGGAGUAAAGGAGGAGCGAAAGAGAGGAGUAAAGGAGGAGAGAAAGAGAGGAUGAGAGGAGUUGAGGAGUAAAGGAGGAGAGAAAGAGAGGAGGAGAGGAGUUGAGGAGUAAAGGAGGAGAGGAAGAGAGGAGUUGAGGAGUAAAGGAGGAGAGAAAGAGAGGAGUUGAGGAGUAAAGGAGGAGAGAAAGAGAGGAUGAGAGGAGUAAAGGAGUAAAGGAGGAGAGAAAGAGAGGAGGAGAGGAGUUGAAGAGAGGAAGAGAGGAGUUGGGGAGUAAAGGAGGAGAGGAAGAGAGGAGU
RNAcentral lists this long non-coding RNA (3971 nucleotides) under Salmo salar (Atlantic salmon). RNAcentral describes it as "lncRNA (ENSSSAG00000119582.1)". Lineage: Eukaryota; Metazoa; Chordata; Actinopteri; Salmoniformes; Salmonidae. The record is from RNAcentral.